This 406-nucleotide ribosomal RNA is filed under the name uncultured bacterium. RNAcentral describes it as "partial 16S ribosomal RNA". It matches the Rfam family "Bacterial small subunit ribosomal RNA", at positions 30 to 526 of the family's 1533-position model. The record is from RNAcentral.
AUUGAACGCUGGCGGCAGGCCUAACACAUGCAAGUCGAACGAGUGGCGGACGGGUGAGAAAUGUCUGGGAAACUGCCCGAUGGAGGGGGAUAACUACUGGAAACGGUAGCUAAUACCGCAUACCAUCGGAUGUGCCUAGAGGGGAUUAGCUAGUAGAUGGGGUAACGGCUCACCUAGGCGACGAUCCCUAGCUGGUCUGAGAGGAUGACCAGCCACACUGGAACUGAGAAAGGGUCCAGACGCCUACGGGAGCGAGCAGUGGGGAAUAUUGCACAAUGGGCGCAAGCCUGAUGCAGCCAGGCCGCGUGUAUUAGGAAGGUCUUGGGGUUGAAAACUACUUUCAGCGAGGAGGCGUUACUCGCAGAAGAAGCACCGGCUAACUCCGUGCCAGCAGCCGCGGUAAUUC